Molecule: non-coding RNA, 398 nt
Organism: Paramuricea clavata
Lineage: Eukaryota; Metazoa; Cnidaria; Anthozoa; Malacalcyonacea; Plexauridae
Source: the annotation of a GenBank genome assembly
GAAGCGCCGAUAAACUCAUAAAAGCACAUUGCUUGCCUCUAGAAUAAACGUCAAACAGUUCAUCGCCUUGAUGAAUAUUAGCACAAAGAAAUAAAGCCAUACUAACCUGGUUUCUUCGGGAAGUAUUCGUAUAUUUUGCAUUUUCAGAUACAGAGUAAAAAGCUUGCAAAUUAUGUGCACGCAAUCCAAAUAUUUUUCUCGCACUCCCCCCGUCCAUCCUCCCCCCCGGAAUUACGACAUCUGGACAGACACAAGAUCUCGAUCUCGCCAAUACAUAGAUCGGCGCGAAAGACUGGGUCGAGUGAGCGAGAAACCUUCAUGUCAAGAUUAGGAGUGCUGCCUUCGGCAGCAAUAAUAUCGCCACGCCCGAUUAUGAACACAUGAAACAUUUUACAGCA